RNAcentral lists this ribosomal RNA (757 nucleotides) under Bipolaris oryzae. RNAcentral's name for it is "eukaryotic LSU rRNA". The stretch from base 410 to 563 matches the Rfam family "5.8S ribosomal RNA". Lineage: Eukaryota; Fungi; Ascomycota; Dothideomycetes; Pleosporales; Pleosporaceae. The record is from RNAcentral.
UGUCUUUUUUAUGGUUCCGACCAUAGUUCGUGUUAAAAGUUUAAUAAUUACCUUUUUUUCUGACGUGAUGAAAUGCUAAAAAAAAAGGUUUAUGUUUGUCCGUUGCGGUGAUCCGUCCUGAAAUAUAAGUGCGCUUAGACGUGGGGAAAAAAAUACUUCAGCCGGCCGGGUAGCCAGGCCGUUAUAUUUUGUUGGAAUGAUUCCUUCCGUAGGUGAACCUGCGGAGGGAUCAUUACACAACAAAAUAUGAAGGCCUGGCUUUCGCGGCCGGCUGAAGUAUUUUUUUCACCCAUGUCUUUUGCGCACUUGUUGUUUCCUGGGCGGGUUCGCCCGCCACCAGGACCAAACCAUAAACCUUUUUUUCUUAUGCAGUUUCCAUCAGCGUCAGUAAAAACAAUGUAAUUAUUACAACUUUCAACAACGGAUCUCUUGGUUCUGGCAUCGAUGAAGAACGCAGCGAAAUGCGAUACGUAGUGUGAAUUGCAGAAUUCAGUGAAUCAUCGAAUCUUUGAACGCACAUUGCGCCCUUUGGUAUUCCAAAGGGCAUGCCUGUUCGAGCGUCAUUUGUACCUUCAAGCUUUGCUUGGUGUUGGGCGUUUUUUUGUCUCCCUCUUUCUGGGAGACUCGCCUUAAAACGAUUGGCAGCCGGCCUACUGGUUUCGGAGCGCAGCACAUUUUUUGCGCUUUGUAUCAGGAGAAAAGGACGGUACUCCAUCAAGACUCUACAUUUUUCACUUUUGACCUCGGAUCAGGGGAG